This 253-nucleotide ribosomal RNA is filed under the name uncultured bacterium. RNAcentral describes it as "partial 16S ribosomal RNA". It matches the Rfam family "Bacterial small subunit ribosomal RNA", at positions 524 to 776 of the family's 1533-position model. The record is from RNAcentral.
UACGUAGGGCGCAAGCGUUAUCCGGAAUUAUUGGGCGUAAAGAGCUCGUAGGCGGUUUGUCGCGUCUGCUGUGAAAAUCCGAGGCUCAACCUCGGACCUGCAGUGGGUACGGGCAGACUAGAGUGUGGUAGGGGAGACUGGAAUUCCUGGUGUAGCGGUGGAAUGCGCAGAUAUCAGGAGGAACACCAAUGGCGAAGGCAGGUCUCUGGGCCACAACUGACGCUGAGGAGCGAAAGCGUGGGGAGCGAACAGG